Peromyscus leucopus (white-footed mouse) is the source of this 2869-nucleotide long non-coding RNA. RefSeq lists it as uncharacterized. Lineage: Eukaryota; Metazoa; Chordata; Mammalia; Rodentia; Cricetidae. The record is from RefSeq and is a predicted model, not a curated record. The transcript is spliced from 4 exons.
CGGGCGGGGAAAGAGGCGGGUCCGGCGGCGCCUUCUUCAAUCCGAGGCCACAGCGCCCCCGUCUGCGCGCAGCGCCUCGAAACAGCGCGGCUGGCGGAUCUGGCCCCGCUGUACCAACCCACGCCGCCGACCCUGAGCUCCCUGGCCCCUGCUACGGGUCCUCCUAUUUCUCACCCCUCCCACCUCCUUUCCAUACUCUCUCAGCUUCUCUUCCUGCCCUUACUUCUCCAGUUCCCCCAAUUCUGUACCCUCCCCUCAUCCUUAUUCUGUUCCCCCAUCUCUCCUGGUUCUUUCUCCUCCCUCUGCUCCUUCUCCCUUCUCCAGUCACCCCCUAUUCUUUUUCUUCUCCAUAACCUCCUUCUUGCCCUGAUCUCCCUGCUUCUUCCUCUCCCUGUUCCCGCAGCUGCCCUUGCUCCUCCCCCUCAGUGUCUUGGUUUGGAAGGGUAGGGUGCUGUAGACCCUGACUGCAGCAGUCCCCCAGGAGGAGAGAGAAAUGACAUCCUGGCAGCUUGUCGUCUUGAUGAGCAGGGCUUAAGUCUGAUUACAGACAGUUGUAUGAUUUUCUUUUAAAAUCGUUGGUUCUCAUUUGGGUGCAGGAUACCUCCCCCCUCUCUUUGGCAGGCUUGACUCACGGUCCAGCAAAUUUCCUUACAGUCUUUAGUUAAGUGCAAUUUUGGCUGCAUUAGUAUUUUCUGAAAAACAAAUAGCCUGUUUAUCUUUGGCUCUCCUUUCUCUGCCCUUUCUGUACCUGACCAGGGCACUGACGUUCCUGAUUUGCUUCUGGUGUAAGAAGAACCUUAUGCUGUUAACGUUAAUAUUAUUUUGCCGGUAGUAAAGACAAGAGCUAGUAAAUAUUGAGCCUUGUUAUGUACCAGAUAUUAUUGUAACCACUCUGCCAAACGAAUUCCUUCCAUUUUACAGUCAGGACAACCUGAGGUACAGGGACACUGAAUGACACAUUUGAGUUCCACAGAGGAAAUGAUGGAGCCAGGAUCCUAACUAGCAUCCUAUAUGCAGACCGUACACAGUACAGCAAGAUGGUGUGGAAUACAGAAGUGGGUUUGUCAAGAGGACCGAGAUAUGGAACCCUUAAGAGUCCUGGGAAUCAAAAGUCUCCUACACAGAAUCUGAAGAACAAGAACAGGGUGUCUUGGAAAUAGAUUAGGAGCCUGGAACACUGUCUCCUGCAGCAGUAUGGACCAGGGCAGCAAAAAGAACGGAAACUCCCAGACGCUUGCCACACCGGUGUGGGAACAGUAGCCCAGGCGGAAACUGCCACCCUCUGUGGGAGUCCCGGCUUUACCUUUCCUCAUCACUGGAGGCUCCAGGAGCAAAGAGCUGCUGACCUUGAGAUGGAGAAGACUAGGAGCCUGACGAGUGCAGUGCUUUACAAAAAAACAAAGCCACGAACGAACCCACGUGUGGUGGGGCUUGGUAAUUGCAGCUCUGUCUGGUCCAAGAGUCAGGAAUGGAUCAGAAGGUAGUGGAUACAAUUGGAAACACAUCUUAAACUUGAAGGAGUCAAAGAGUUAGUAGCUAAAAAGUUGGGGAAAGGAGUCAGUGCUACAGAGCUGUGUCAAGCCAGUAACUCCAACGAGAAUACUACGCUUUCGUACAAUUUCGUUGACGCUUACGGUACUUGUUAGCAUCUAAAAUAUGUAACUUACUUUGAUGUGUUUCUUACUCUAAAUACUUAAUGUUGUGUCUGAUUUAUUGUUCUUAAUAGCCCUGGUUGGCCUUGAACUCACAGAGAUCCACCUGCCUCUGCCUCCUGAGUGCUGAUACUAAAGGCGUGCAUCACCAUGUCCAGCCCAGAAUUUUAGUUCUUAAGUUCUGAUCUCAACAGGACCCUCUUGCCCAACUCUGAACAUCCCUCCUGGCUGCAAAGGCCCCUUUGGGACAUCUUUAUAAAACUGAACUGCACAUGUACAGCCACGCCUCAUGGCUAAUUAGGGUUCUCGGACCUGCUAGUACCUAGGCUGGUGGUUGUUAUCAGUGAAGAGACAGUAUCAGUGUUUCCUCAGAUCCUAGGACUUAACCAUUACCAGACCUUAGUCUCCUUUUCCAUUGAGAUGCUGAGGGAAAAAAUGAGAAGAAACAGUCAACACUUUUUGCAAGAGAAGAUGGAAAAAUCAUAAAAAUGACCCCACGCUGCCAUCAGGGUAUCCAGUAGGGUCGCGUGCAGUCACAACCGCCAGUGUCCUGGGGAAGGAUUCCAACACAGGGCCUGAUUUGUGAGCACCGGCUCCUUACCUCCAACAUCCUAUUUUCACUCACCAUCCCUUUGUUGAUAAUUAGAAUUAAUAAAUUAAGAACUCUCACUAGAACCAUAAAAUUCAAAGUGUAAAAAUCAGUGGUUAAUGUUGAUUGGCUGGAAGCAUUUCUGAAAAGAAAAUAUCUGUAUCAUUUUUUUGCUACAGGAGCAUACAAAUGCCUGUACCCACACUAACAAAUUCACACACACACACACACACAGAGAGAGAAAAUGAGUGAGCAAAGAAGAGUGAAUCUUACCAACAUGUUCAGAAGUGAAAAAAGCCAGGCAGAGAAAAGUAUGAGCUAUCUGACUGGGGUAUGUGAAGUUCAGAAAUGAGAGAAACCUAGCAAUGCUGGAUGUUAGCAUGGUUGAGAAACAUUGUCACAUCCAGGCUGGAGGUGGUCAGGAGGUUCUAAUCUGAAUGAUGACUUCACCACUAGUCUUCAUAGUCGCUCAUGCGUUUGUUUUAUUUACUUCUGUAAGCCACAUUAUAUUUCAAAAUUGUAAUGGUUAGAAAUGUUCAAACAUGUAACUUAUACUAAAUAGGACUUUGUGGAUAGCUGUUGGCUUUAGACUGGUGCAAAAUGACUCACACAUUGUACAUUCCAUGGA